RNA transcript from Trichechus manatus latirostris (Florida manatee), 5008 nucleotides. It is a transcript of the gene named adaptor related protein complex 3 subunit mu 1, with no coding region annotated. The record is from RefSeq and is a predicted model, not a curated record. NCBI's taxonomy places the organism in Eukaryota, Metazoa, Chordata, Mammalia, Sirenia, Trichechidae. The transcript has 8 exons.
UCACUAAAUUGCACACUUAAAAUGGUUAAAUUGCAAACUUUUUGUUAUAUAUGUUUUACCACAAUAAAAUUUGAAAACAAACAAUUGAGGCCAUUUAGGGGAAAAUAUUUCAAAUAUCUCCCAAGGCCAUUAUUGUAGUCUCAGACAAGUUAAUGGAAAUUCAAAAUGAAAACUUUGAACAAUGUUACUCAAAAUUUUACUUGACGCUAGGGAAAUCCAAGUAAAAUCUAUAGUUAUUAGUAUUAGACCAAUAUUAAUUUUCUAGUUUUGAUAAAUGUACCACAGUUAUGUAAAGUGUUGACAUUGGGGGAAGCUGAGUGAAAUGUACAUGGGAGCUCUGGACUAUCUUUGCAACUCUUCUGUAGAUAUAAAAUUGUUUCAGAAUAAAAAGUUGAGUGAUCUUGGUAUCCUUGUGAAAAGUCAAUUGGGCCAUAGAUAUAUGGGUUUAUUUCUGAAUUCUCAAUUUUAUUUCGUUGAUUUAUAUGUCUGUCCUUAUGCCAGUACCACACAGUCUUGAUUACUGUUGCUUUCUAGUAGCUUUAAAAUUGGAGCAUGUGACUCCUCCAACUUUCUUCUUUUUUUUUCAAGAUUGUUUUGGCUAUUCUGGGUCAUUUUCAUUUCCAUAUGAAUUUUAGGAUCAACCUGUCAGUUAUCACAAAAAAGGCAACAGGAGUUUUGAUAAGGUUGCCUUGAAUUUGAAGAUGAGUUUGGGGUGUAUUGCCAUCUUAACAAUAUUAAAUCUCCCAGUCCACGAACAUGGAAUGUCUUUCUGCUUAUUUAGAUCUUUUUUAAUUUCUUUCAAUGAUAUUUUUAAUGUUCAGUGUGCAAAUCUUGCAUUUCUUUUGUUAAAUUUAUUCCUUGUUACUUUAUUAUUUUAGAUGCUAUUAUAAAUGGAAUUAUUUUCUUAAUUUCAUUUUCAGAUUGUUUAUUGCUAGUGAAUAGAAAUACAAUUGAUUUUUGUAUAUUAAUCUUGUAUCCUGCAACCUUCCUCAACUCAUUUACUAGUGCUAGUAAUAUUUUUAGUGGAUUUCUUAAGAUUUGCUAUACAUAAGAUCAUGUCGUGUAAAUAGAGAUAUUUUUAUUUUUUCCUUUAUAAUCUGGAAUCCUUAUUUCGCUGACUUGCCUAAUUGCCCUGGCUAGAACCUUCUGUACAAUAUUGAUUAGAAGUGGCAAGAACAGACAUCCUUAUCUUGUUCCUGAUCUUGCGGGGAAAGCAUUCAGUCUUUCACCAUUGAGUAUGAUGUUAGCUGUGGGAUUUUCAUAGAUGCCCUGUAUCAGGUUGAGAAAAUCCCUUUCUAAGUUUGUUGCGUUUUUUUUUUAUAUAUAUAUAUAAAGAAAGGCUGUUGCGUUUUGUCGAAAGCUUUUUCUGUUCCUACUGAGAUAAUCAUUUGUUUUUUGUCCUUUGUUAUAUUAACUCUGUGUAUUACAUUGAUUGACUUGCAUAUGUUGAACCAACCUUGCGUUACUGGGAUAAACCCACUUGGACGUGGUGUAUAAUCCUUUUUAUAUGUUGCUGGAUUCUAUUUACUAGUGUUUUGCUGAGUUUUUGUAUCCAUAUUCACAAGGGAUACUGGUCUGUAGUUUUCUUAUGAAGUCUUUGUCUGAUUUUGGUUUUAGGGUAAUACAAGAAUACUUUUUGAUGUGUAAUAAAUAUAAACUUUUUUUCUCACAGAAAAUGAUCCACAGUCUAUUUCUCAUAAACUGUUCCGGUGACAUAUUUCUAGAGAAGCACUGGAAGAGCGUUGUAAGCCAGUCUGUCUGUGAUUAUUUCUUUGAAGCUCAGGAGAAAGCUGCUGAUGUUGAAAAUGUACCACCUGUCAUUUCAACACCUCACCACUACCUCAUCAGUAUCUACCGGGAUAAGCUCUUCUUUGUGUCUGUCAUACAGACUGAAGUGCCACCUCUGUUUGUAAUUGAGUUCCUACAUAGAGUUGCUGACACCUUUCAGGACUACUUUGGUGAGUGUUCGGAGGCUGCAAUUAAGGAUAAUGUGGUCAUAGUGUAUGAGCUCUUGGAAGAAAUGUUAGACAAUGGGUUUCCACUGGCUACUGAAUCCAACAUUUUGAAAGAACUGAUUAAACCACCAACAAUUCUACGUUCUGUCGUCAACUCUAUUACAGGCAGUAGUAAUGUUGGGGACACACUCCCCACUGGGCAGCUGUCCAACAUCCCGUGGCGCCGGGCAGGAGUAAAGUACACAAACAAUGAAGCCUAUUUUGAUGUUGUUGAAGAAAUAGAUGCAAUUAUAGAUAAAUCAGGAUCUACAGUCUUUGCAGAAAUUCAGGGGGUCAUUGAUGCUUGUAUUAAGCUGUCUGGGAUGCCUGAUCUUUCCCUUUCUUUCAUGAACCCAAGGCUUCUGGAUGACGUCAGCUUCCACCCUUGCAUCCGGUUCAAGCGUUGGGAAUCUGAAAGAGUUUUGUCGUUUAUUCCUCCAGAUGGAAAUUUCCGACUCAUAUCAUACCGGGUCAGCUCACAAAAUCUAGUGGCAAUUCCAGUAUAUGUGAAACAUAGCAUCAGCUUUAAGGAGAACAGUUCCUGUGGCCGAUUUGAUAUUACAAUUGGACCAAAGCAGAAUAUGGGAAAAACUAUUGAAGGAAUCACAGUGACAGUUCACAUGCCAAAAGUUGUGCUAAAUAUGAAUCUGACACCAACACAAGGCAGCUAUACAUUUGAUCCAGUCACCAAGGUACAGCCACUUCAGAUCAAGAGUACUAACAUGGGAUGUGGGGAAAAUCACUCCACAAAAGCUCCCAAGUCUUAAAGGACUGGUGAAUUUACAGUCUGGAGCACCCAAGCCAGAAGAGAAUCCAAGCCUCAACAUACAGUUCAAGAUCCAGCAGCUUGCUAUUUCAGGCUUAAAAGUAAACCGCUUGGACAUGUAUGGGGAGAAGUAUAAGCCAUUUAAAGGAGUCAAAUAUGUCACUAAAGCUGGAAAGUUCCAAGUGAGGACAUGAGAAGAGGCCAAAAUUCUUCAAGAUCUGUUUGUUUUCCAAGUGUCGUUACAGUGUUUUACUAUUAGGUACCAAGUGGGUGGGAAUACAUAUUCUAGUUAAAGCAUUUGUGUCAAGCUGCACACCCCUAACAAAGUAGCUUAGUAAUCAGUGUAGGGUCCUUAAGGAGCUUUAAGCUAAGGAAACUUUUCUAAUGACUUAGCUUAUUUUGUACCUUUUCAUUAAGGAAGAUUUUGGAGGUGAUUUUCUCUAUAGGGGUUACUAGCUGGAUGCUGCACACUGUGACAGUAAAGGCAGAAGGCUACAGUGAUAACCUCCCUCCUAAAACAAGUGAACUUGUCUCAGCCAGCAGGAGCUGUCUUAACCUGUGUUGUGAUGUGUCAGGUGCAACCAAGUGUCAUACCUUCUGAUCUUGCCCAUCCCAAAUCAGCAUCUGUCCCAACAGAGGAAGAUCCCCCUCUACCCAACCCUGAGAAGUUUACAGAAAACUGCCUCUUCAAGUGUUUGCCUUAUUCAGCUUUUCACUUGUGCCAUUAAGCAAGCACUGUAGCAAAAGCCACUUCCACAUGGCCCUGGCAAGGAGCACUGCUGCUCCAUGCUCCACUCUCACUGUACUUGGUAUUGUAUUUUUUAUAAAUAAGAUUUUUAUGUAAAACUCAGAUUUUGAUUUACAGGGACCUUGCUGCAGUAAAUACCAUCUCAGUUUUGUGCCACUGGUUCAGUUGUUAGCACAGUAAAAAUCAUUUGGAGCAAGGGGGUGAAUGCUUUAUUAAGGUAGGAAAGGGAACACUACUUCUUUUAGGAAGUUACUGCAAGCACAAGCAUUUGAGCUCUUAAGCAAAUUAAAGCAGUAAAAGAGAAACUGAAGCUGAAACCUUUGCCAUCUUCAUGUUUUAUAAGGCUUAUCCAGCACCACUUAAACCAUAGUUAGCCUAAAUGCCUCAUGCCCUAGUUUAACAAAAGGAGAGAAAUGUGCCUGCCUCAUGUCUUCAGUCUUUUUUUUAAUCUUUUAUCUUUUUGGUUGUUGUUGUUCUUAAGGGCCUGAAUUUGCCUGCAUCCCUUGUCUUCAGGGGGAACUCCUUUUCUGCAUUAUGUGGUUCUCACACAGAGAAUCUCAGUAGAUUACUACUCAGAUUCUUUCUUGAAACUAUUGUUGUAAUUGUCACUGGAGUACUUGUUGGUAUCUCUCUGUCCUGAUAAAGUACAUGGAAGUAUGGUACACUGUGGCAGAAACAAAAUCCUCAGUGACAUUGCUGACACCAUUGUGAUCAUCGUGGUUUACUAGUCAGUCUCCAGUUAAAGUAUCAUGUCAUUCAACCUCAGUGGCUUGGAAGUCUUUGCCCAGUUAUUCUGCCUCAUUAGACACAUAGAAAUGGAGAAAGGCUGAAAAAUAAGUGUUUAUUCUUCAUGUUUCCCUCUUUUUCUUACUUACGCUGUUAGUUUCUUCUCCUUGUGGCUGCAUUCUUUUCGUUCUCAGUUUCUGACUCCCUUUCCCUUAUCAUGCCAAGGAAAGCCCUUCUUACUCUCCCAUUUCUGCUGGCAAGGGCUUAGUGGUUGGUGCUGGUGCAGGGAUGGCCACUGCACAGCAGCAUUCUCACCUUUUACUGCCUCACCACCCAACUUGGCUUUCAUCUGAUACAAACGGCCAGUUUGUGCAACUUCUCAAUUUCUAGGGUAACCAAUCUCUGAUUGGUAACUAAAAUCAAGAUGUUGUCAAAUACAUAUUCCCUUUACCCAGCUCCACUGCUUCAUUUUCAGUGUCUCCCUCUUUAGGGUUCUUAACUCAGAAGGGCAAUCAGAACAUCUGUUUUUCUUUCUACAGAAUCCCUAAUCCCAACCAUCCAUACCUGGACUGUUCAAUUUUCCUCCUAUAUACAAAGCAGAUUGUGUGCCAAGAGUCCCUUGUCUCUAGAAAUUUCUGUCCUGAUUGACUUUUUCCUUUCACAGUUAAAUUACUGUAUUUAUUAAUUUGACAGAAUCCAGUAAAUCCUUUCUUUAGCUCUGGCUAUAAUGUCAAUAAAAGGAUGAAAGCAACUAGGUGAUUUUUUUUUUUUUUU